UCCGGUCUGGCACCGGCAGUCCUCCCAGAGUCCCCGACUUGACUCGCUGGCAACUGGGAGCGGGGGUUGCGCUCGUUGCGGGACUUAACCCAACAUCUCACGACACGAGCUGACGACAGCCAUGCAGCACCUGUGUAUCCUGAUAUUGCUAUCUCGUCAGGCUUUCACCCUUCUACUAGAUACAUGUCAAGGCCAGGUAAGGUUCUUCGCGUUGCAUCGAAUUAAGCCACAUACUCCACCGCUUGUGCAGGCCCCCGUCAAUUCCUUUGAGUUUUAGCCUUGCGGCCGUACUCCCCAGGCGGGGCACUUAAUGCGUUAGCGCCGGCACCCAGGGGGUCGCUCCCCCAGGCACCUAGUGCCCAUCGUUUACGGCUAGGACUAC
Molecule: unclassified non-coding RNA, 382 nt
Filed under: uncultured bacterium
Lineage: Bacteria
Description: contains 16S-23S intergenic spacer region
Source: RNAcentral